Molecule: ribosomal RNA, 300 nt
Filed under: uncultured Pyrobaculum sp.
Lineage: Archaea; Thermoproteati; Thermoproteota; Thermoprotei; Thermoproteales; Thermoproteaceae
Description: partial 16S ribosomal RNA
Rfam family: Bacterial small subunit ribosomal RNA (bases 51-300)
Source: RNAcentral
GCGACGGCGUGGGGGGGGCGGGGGGUGUAGGGGGGUGGGAAGCGUUGUUGGGAAGUACUGGGCGUAAAGGGCUCGGGGGCGGCCAACUAAGUCUGAUGGGAAAGCCCCAGGCUCAACCGGGGAACGGCAUCCGAUACUGGUUGGCUUGAAUCCGGGAGAGGGAUGCGGAAUUCCAGGUGUAGCGGUGAAAUGCGUAGAUAUCUGGAGGAACACCGGUGGCGAAGGCGGCAUCCUGGACCGGCAUUGACGCUGAGUGAGCGAAAGCCAGGGGAGCAAACGGGAUUAGAUACCCUGGUAGUC